Molecule: ribosomal RNA, 497 nt
Filed under: uncultured bacterium
Lineage: Bacteria
Description: partial 16S ribosomal RNA
Rfam family: Bacterial small subunit ribosomal RNA
Source: RNAcentral
GAUGAACGCUGGCGGCGUGCCUAAUACAUGCAAGUCGAGCGAACGGACGAGAAGCUUGCUUCUCUAAUGUUAGCGGCGGACGGGUGAGUAACACGUGGAUAACCUACCUAUAAGACUGGGAUAACUUCGGGAAACCGUAGCUAAUACCGGAUAAUAUUUUGAGCCGCAUGGUUCAAAAGUGAAAGACGGUCUUGCUGUCACUUAUAGAUGGAUCCGCGCUGCAUUAGCUAGUUGGUAAGGUAACGGCUUACCAAGGCAACGAUGCAUAGCCGACCUGAGAGGGUGAUCGGCCACACUGGAACUGAGACACGGUCCAGACUCCUACGGGAGGCAGCAGUAGGGAAUCUUCCGCAAUGGGCGAAAGCCUGACGGAGCAACGCCGCGUGAGUGAUGAAGGUCUUCGGAUCGUAAAACUCUGUUAUUAGGGAAGAACAUAUGUGUAAGUAACUGUGCACAUCUUGACGGUACCUAAUCAGAAAGCCACGGCUAACUACGUG